Molecule: ribosomal RNA, 1354 nt
Filed under: uncultured bacterium
Lineage: Bacteria
Description: bacterial SSU rRNA
Rfam family: Bacterial small subunit ribosomal RNA
Source: RNAcentral
AUUGAACGCUGGCGGCAGGCUUAACACAUGCAAGUCGAACGAUGAUUAUCUAGCUUGCUAGAUAUGAUUAGUGGCGGACGGGUGAGUAACAUUUAGGAAUCUGCCUAGUAGUGGGGGAUAGCUCGGGGAAACUCGAAUUAAUACCGCAUACGACCUACGGGUGAAAGGGGGCGCAAGCUCUUGCUAUUAGAUGAGCCUAAAUCAGAUUAGCUAGUUGGUGGGGUAAAGGCCCACCAAGGCGACGAUCUGUAACUGGUCUGAGAGGAUGAUCAGUCACACCGGAACUGAGACACGGUCCGGACUCCUACGGGAGGCAGCAGUGGGGAAUAUUGGACAAUGGGGGCAACCCUGAUCCAGCCAUGCCGCGUGUGUGAAGAAGGCCUUUUGGUUGUAAAGCACUUUAAGCAGGGAGGAGAGGCUAAUGGUUAAUACCCAUUAGAUUAGACGUUACCUGCAGAAUAAGCACCGGCUAACUCUGUGCCAGCAGCCGCGGUAAUACAGAGGGCGCGAGCGUUAAUCGGAAUUACUGGGCGUAAAGCGAGUGUAGGUGGCUCAUUAAGUCACAUGUGAAAUCCCCGGGCUUAACCUGGGAACUGCAUGUGAUACUGGUGGUGCUAGAAUAUGUGAGAGGGAAGUAGAAUUCCAGGUGUAGCGGUGAAAUGCGUAGAGAUCUGGAGGAAUACCGAUGGCGAAGGCAGCUUCCUGGCAUAAUAUUGACACUGAGAUUCGAAAGCGUGGGUAGCAAACAGGAUUAGAUACCCUGGUAGUCCACGCCGUAAACGAUGUCUACUAGCCGUUGGGGUCCUUGAGACUUUAGUGGCGCAGUUAACGCGAUAAGUAGACCGCCUGGGGAGUACGGCCGCAAGGUUAAAACUCAAAUGAAUUGACGGGGGCCCGCACAAGCGGUGGAGCAUGUGGUUUAAUUCGAUGCAACGCGAAGAACCUUACCUGGUCUUGACAUAGUGAGAAUCCUGCAGAGAUGCGGGAGUGCCUUCGGGAAUUCACAUACAGGUGCUGCAUGGCUGUCGUCAGCUCGUGUCGUGAGAUGUUGGGUUAAGUCCCGCAACGAGCGCAACCCUUUUCCUUAUUUGCCAGCGGGUUAAGCCGGGAACUUUAAGGAUACUGCCAGUGACAAACUGGAGGAAGGCGGGGACGACGUCAAGUCAUCAUGGCCCUUACGACCAGGGCUACACACGUGCUACAAUGGUAGGUACAGAGGGUUGCUACACAGCGAUGUGAUGCUAAUCUCAAAAGCCUAUCGUAGUCCGGAUUGGAGUCUGCAACUCGACUCCAUGAAGUCGGAAUCGCUAGUAAUCGCAGAUCAGAAUGCUGCGGUGAAUACGUUCCCGGGCCU